AGAACUUGGUGGGGAAUUUGAGGAAGAUCUUGGUGUACACUGCCAUAUCAAAUCGGUAGAUGGCGAUGAUCUUCCAAGCCUGCAGGUCGAUCGUCCAUGCAGUUCAACACACGCACAAAAUAAAACAAAUAAUCAGGGCCUCGUGAUUUGACAAGCAAUUAAUUGCAGAUCUGGUGAUGUUAAUUGGGAUGUGCAAGUAGAAACCGACAGGCAGUUGCGGCUUGAACUGGAUGAGGUCGCUCUGCAGGACGCCCAGGCUUGUGGACACGAUGACGUAGUCCCCGCUGUACGCAGAGUUGUCCUCCGUCCUCACCACCACGCCCUUCCGGUUGUAGGAGAUCUCUCGGACCACCUGCACGAAAGGUAUGUAUAUCCACCAAAUUAAUCAACAUCAAAUCAUAUAGGAGUAUAUUAAUUCCUCUAAAAUAAAUACUGAAAAUACAGCUUGUGGUUUUCCUUUGGCAUCUCUUGUACAGCUAGUGCGCGCGAUAGAUAUGUCAUACGGUUUCGCUAUAUCUAAGUCGUAUGAUUUUUAGUUAGAAAUAAGUUGAUUUCUCAAUAAUUGUAUAUGGUCUUGUUCUUUAAAAUUCGGAACGAACCAUGAAAAGAGAAGAGUGAGAUGGUAUCCAAAUAAUAAUCUAACCGUUCUGAUACGUCAACCGAGAUUUAAACCUUUUCGUUGAGAAAAUCAAGCGACUGAGAUACACCAACACCAAUUGUCAUAAGUUCAUGUCGAAAUCAAUCAAUCUCAGCUUAAUUUCUUUUUUUUUUUGAGGGGAAACAGUGCAAAUUUUAUUACUCCAUAAAUAAUUAUUGGUUUAAUAUAUUCACCAGAUCUCUUGAUCGAUGAGGUUGGUUUUUAGUUAAAUUAUUAAUCAAUUGCUGUUUAAUGACGCAGAUUUUUACAUAAUGUAAGAGUCGUAAGUACAAAUAAACCUUGUUGAGCUUGAGCCUUGGAUCAACGAUGUUCCCGGACUUGCGGUCGGAGCUGAGGUACUGCCUUGCGAUGUGGUAUAUGAUGGCCUCGAAGCCGCG
RNAcentral lists this long non-coding RNA (1035 nucleotides) under Brachypodium distachyon (stiff brome). RNAcentral's name for it is "long non-coding RNA (BDIS_LNC003206)". The record is from RNAcentral. Lineage: Eukaryota; Viridiplantae; Streptophyta; Magnoliopsida; Poales; Poaceae.